Trichechus manatus latirostris (Florida manatee) is the source of this 75-nucleotide small nucleolar RNA. RefSeq annotates it as small nucleolar RNA SNORD113/SNORD114 family. The transcript has a single exon. The record is from RefSeq and is a predicted model, not a curated record. NCBI's taxonomy places the organism in Eukaryota, Metazoa, Chordata, Mammalia, Sirenia, Trichechidae.
UGGACCAGUGAUGACCACUGGUGGCGAAUGAGUCAUGGACGAUCAAUAGUAUGUGUCUGGAACUCUAAGGUCCAA